AAGUAACUUGACAAUGUAGGCUCCUCAAGGAUUUAUAUUUUACUAAUAUGAUACCAAAUGUGCAGCAUUUCUUAACUCAAUAUUCUCUCACACAUCACUUGCAGUCUAGAAUCCAAUUGAUUCAUGGAAUUGUGGGAAUGGGAAUCAGUAAAAUAGACAUUUUGACACUCAUUAAAUUCAUGUUUUUUUUUUAAUUCCUGAUCCUUAGAUCAGGCGUUUGAUUACCAUAGUAUCUGUAUUGUAGUGAUAUGAUUUUAGAUUAGUAUACCCACCUGUCUAAAGUUAAUAAAAAUGCACACAGUACAUAAUACAACUAUAUAAAAAACACUUAACUUAUUCAAUAUU
Non-coding RNA from Cinara cedri, 345 nucleotides. The record is from the annotation of a GenBank genome assembly. Lineage: Eukaryota; Metazoa; Arthropoda; Insecta; Hemiptera; Aphididae.